CGGCGGACGGGUGAGUAACGCGUGGGUAACCUGCCUCAUACAGGGGGAUAACAGUUAGAAAUGACUGCUAAUACCGCAUAAGCACACAGUACCGCAUGGUACAGUGUGAAAAACUCCGGUGGUAUGAGAUGGACCCGCGUCUGAUUAGCUUGUUGGCGGGGUAACGGCCCACCAAGGCGACGAUCAGUAGCCGACCUGAGAGGGUGACCGGCCACAUUGGGACUGAGACACGGCCCAA
This 238-nucleotide ribosomal RNA is filed under the name uncultured bacterium. RNAcentral describes it as "partial 16S ribosomal RNA". It matches the Rfam family "Bacterial small subunit ribosomal RNA", at positions 96 to 334 of the family's 1533-position model. The record is from RNAcentral.